UGGAUUCGAAUGAUGAGCUUGGGGACCAGAGAUCCUCUUUAUACCCAUCUUCUGGCCACUCCUAUGGGAAGUGAGGCACCCCAGGAAUGAUUUGAAGAUAAAGAGCUGUGGAAGAAACGGACCGAAUAUGAGAUGCAUACAUUAGAUCACCUGUUUAGAUGGAGAAUUAUUGCCUUUUCCUAUUUUGCGGCUUAAAUAUAAAUGACAGGUCUCACCAUCAACUUGGCUCAUUGCAUGGUUGAAUGUGUUAAACAACUUCCGUCUCUCAGCAAUGUGUCUGGUGAAGGCAACAAGUGGAGGACAACCCACACUGGAACUUGAAUUAUGACCUACAUAGGUGCUUUGCCCACACAUAGAUGCAGUGAAUGAAGACACAAAACAACAGUGCAUGAUUUAAAUAUGGGCCACAAAUUCAUAAGCCUGAUAUGCAGCAUUCUUGACUAGUUCAAAGCAAAAUUCCCAAACUUAAAGCAGGUAUGAAUGCACCCAAGGAGGAAAAGUCAAUCAAAAGAGUCACAGGGGCUGGAAGAACUUUCCUCCACGGAUCAAAUAAAGCUGCUUUAUAGAGUCAGAUCAAUGGUCCAUCUAGCUCAGUACAGUGGUACCUCGGGUUACAGACGCUUCAGGUUACAGACUCCGCUAACCCAGAAAUAGUACCUCGGGUUAAGAACUUUGCUUCAGGAUGAGAAAAGAAAUUGCAUGGCGGCAGCACAGCAGCAGUGGAAGGCCCUAUUAGCUAAAGUGGUACCUCAGGUUAAGAACAGUUUCAGGUUAAGAACAGACCUCCAGAACAAAUUA
Long non-coding RNA from Podarcis raffonei (Aeolian wall lizard), 798 nucleotides. RefSeq lists it as uncharacterized. The record is from RefSeq and is a predicted model, not a curated record. NCBI's taxonomy places the organism in Eukaryota, Metazoa, Chordata, Lepidosauria, Squamata, Lacertidae. The transcript is spliced from 3 exons.